Molecule: long non-coding RNA, 1851 nt
Organism: Salvator merianae (Argentine black and white tegu)
Lineage: Eukaryota; Metazoa; Chordata; Lepidosauria; Squamata; Teiidae
Source: Ensembl
GCAGUAUUGUGGGCGGCUGAACCAGGUGGAGCGAGAUGCUGCUUUGCGCGGCCGGGUGCUGUUUCAUCGCGUCCAGGAGUGCGCUGGACCACUGGCAGCCUGGGCAGGCGGCAGCGGCAUUGGCAUUCUUACAAUUGUAAAAUGAAAGGGAUGCAACGGGCUAGGUAGAUCCUGGCUGGCCAGAGGGUUUCAUUAAUCUGCAGAAUAAGGGCUGGAACANAUCCCUUAGCAAAUCGGGCUGCAAGGUCCUGGCCACUUCAGCGUGCAAAGAUGCUGUUUAAGAGGGUCCUGAUGGACGUAUAUAAAAUCAUGUGCUGUAUGGACAAGGUGGACAGAGAGAAAGACCGGGAGCAGGGGGCACUCUGGGACGCUGCUGGGCAGGAGAGUGAGGACCGGCAAGAAAUUGCAUAUUGUGUACCUUUGUAUGGUUUUGUCUUAUUUUUUAAAUCUUAUAUUUUUUAUUUAUUUUUAUAUAUUGUUUAUUUCUGGUUUUUAUUUGAAAAGUCUUUUAUGCAGUACUUUCCCCCUUUUCCUACCCUUUUAUUCCUGUUAAUAUAUAUUGUACCAACAAUAUAAUUGAUAAUUAUUAUACAACCUAUUCAUUCCAUGUAUUUUUGUUGCAUAGAUAAACAUUUCAAUUAUUCAGAAUCCCCCCCCCCGUCAUACCCUUCCCUAUCCCCAUUCCCCUUGCCCUGAAGUAACACCCUGAGGUAUAUAUCUUAAAUAUCAAUUUUAAUAGGUGAACUGAUUAGGAUCAAUCAAAUCUAACUUUCGCCGAAUGGUACUCUUGCAAGGAUGGUCAACCUCGAGGUUUUUCGCUGCUGAAGAGAUCNGAUGCCCCCAUCAGCCCAGCCCACGCAGCCAGAGAGCCACACAUUAUGCAGCCCUGCCCUGCUUAUGCUGUGCAGACAGCAGUAGAUAUCCAGGAAAAAAAAAUAUUCACUGUUGGUAAAGAUUCGUUUAGCAGAAACUCUCUGGACACUUGGCCUGGUAGGAUGAGUCAGCCAACUAGCCUCUUUCACGUAUGUACAUUUCAAGUCUCUCAGGGAAAAAGAAUCUGCUUAAAAACACACGUGGGUAAAGCAUUAGCUUUCCGAGAGAAAACACCACCUCGGAGCAAUGGUAAGAAGAACAAGAUGGGCACCGUGACAUUCUUUUUUUUUUCCAGAAUCCCAGUAGCAGCAAGCUGAAAAGAAACUCUUGUCCGACUUGGCUCUGGCCCUGACCCAUAUGGUUAUGGCCACACUCUGCCACGAUGAAGGUCCAAAGCAGCAAAAAGGAACCUGCUCAGCACGGGUUCCAGGCUCCUUGGCAGCAAAUGGACACAUGGACACCGGCCACAAAGUUACUCCAUCAUCUCUCCGUGAUAAAGAUGGACUCUUCUGUGUCAUCCUUCUCCUCCUCAGAGGCACCGUCAUCGUCCUCUUCGCUAGGUUGCUCCUUUGAAGAAUGGUCAGAAUCGGCAGCUACAAAAAAACAUGCAACAAUAAUAAUAGGAAAGAGUGGAACACUUAAUCCGUAGCUGGAAGAAGACAACACAAACUUUACAAAGACGACAUAGAAAGACAGAAUUAACUGACAACUAUGAUCCACUGGAACAUUGGUAAUGUAAUCCAUUUUCCAGUUACCUGUAUGCGCAUUUUUCUACUCAUUUUUACUCUUCUUUGCCAAUCAUUUCUUCUCUUUCAGUUUUUGCUUGCGAAGAAAGCCAAGAAGAGUUCAACAAAAAUCAAAAUCAUAAAGGCCUUAGUUGUUUAAUAUUUUUUCCCAUCCGGCAAAACUAGAAAGUUUCUGCGAGUUCUCAGAGAAAUCACCAAUAAAAUCCAUUCUUCAAUAGCUGUUUUUGUCGAA